UCCCUUAUAGCUCAGUUGGUAGAGCGAUGCGCUGUUAACGCAUGUCUGUCGGGGGUUCGAGUCCCUCUGGGGGAG
RNAcentral lists this transfer RNA (75 nucleotides) under Lachnospiraceae bacterium. Its description in RNAcentral is "tRNA-Asn". It matches the Rfam family "tRNA". Rfam says of the family: Transfer RNA (tRNA) molecules are approximately 80 nucleotides in length. The record is from RNAcentral. Lineage: Bacteria; Bacillati; Bacillota; Clostridia; Lachnospirales; Lachnospiraceae.